AGUCGAACGAUGAAGCAGAGCUUGCUCUGUGGAUUAGUGGCGAACGGGUGAGUAACACGUGAGUAACCUGCCCUUGACUCUGGAAUAAGCGUUGGAAACGACGUCUAAUACUGGAUACGAGCUUCAGCCGCAUGGCUAGGAGCUGGAAAGAAUUUCGGUCAAGGAUGGACUCGCGGCCUAUCAGGUAGUUGGUGAGGUAAUGGCUCACCAAGCCUACGACGGGUAGCCGGCCUGAGAGGGUGACCGGCCACACUGGAACUGAGACACGGUCCAGACUCCUACGGGAGGCAGCAGUGGGGAAUAUUGCACAAUGGGCGAAAGCCUGAUGCAGCAACGCCGCGUGAGGGACGACGGCCUUCGGGUUGUAAACCUCUUUUAGUAGGGAAGAAGCGAUGUGCUUGUCACAUCAUGACGGUACCUGCAGAAAAAGCACCGGCUAACUACGUGCCAGCAGCCGCGGUAAUACGUAGGGUGCAAGCGUUAUCCGGAAUUAUUGGGCGUAAAGAGCUCGUAGGCGGUUUGUCGCGUCUGCUGUGAAAACCGGAGGCUCAACCUCCGGCCUGCAGUGGGUACGGGCAGACUAGAGUGCGGUAGGGGAGAUUGGAAUUCCUGGUGUAGCGGUGGAAUGCGCAGAUAUCAGGAGGAACACCAAUGGCGAAGGCAGAUCUCUGGGCCGUAACUGACGCUGAGGAGCGAAAGCAUGGGGAGCGAACAGGAUUAGAUACCCUGGUAGUCCAUGCCGUAAACGUUGGGAACUAGAUGUAGGGACCAUUCCACGGUUUCUGUGUCGCAGCUAACGCAUUAAGUUCCCCGCCUGGGAGUACGGCCGCAAGGCUAAAACUCAAAGGAAUUGACGGGGGCCCGCACAAGCGGCGGAGCAUGCGGAUUAAUUCGAUGCAACGCGAAGAACCUUACCAAGACUUGACAUAUACGAGAACGGGCCAGAAAUGGUCA
RNAcentral lists this ribosomal RNA (954 nucleotides) under Leifsonia sp. COL-14. Its description in RNAcentral is "bacterial SSU rRNA". It matches the Rfam family "Bacterial small subunit ribosomal RNA", at positions 60 to 1012 of the family's 1533-position model. Lineage: Bacteria; Bacillati; Actinomycetota; Actinomycetes; Micrococcales; Microbacteriaceae. The record is from RNAcentral.